RNAcentral lists this ribosomal RNA (223 nucleotides) under uncultured bacterium. RNAcentral's name for it is "partial 16S ribosomal RNA". It matches the Rfam family "Bacterial small subunit ribosomal RNA", at positions 524 to 741 of the family's 1533-position model. The record is from RNAcentral.
GACAGAGGUGCCAAGCGUUUAGGCGGAAUCACUGGGCUUAAAAGCGUGUGUAGGCGGCCCGUUAAGUACCUUGUGAAAUCCCACGGCUCAACCGUGGAACUGCUGGGUAUACUGGGCGGGCUUGGGCCACGUUCAGGGGCAGACGGAACAGGCGGUGGAGCGGUGAAAUGCGUAGAUAUCGCCUGGAACGCCGAAGGUGAAAACAGUCUGCUGGGGGUGUGCC